AAUGUCGCCUCCGGAAAAAGCAACCUGUCCACAGACUCCCUGUCUAAAUACUCACCUUUACACAGAGGAACAGCUUCUUCACAUUUAGUCUCUGUCUUUUAGAACAACUCCCGACAGUAAAUCCACGACUCGCAUUUUUUUUUUUAUUUUUCAUUUCUUUCUCUCUUUUUUUCCUGCUUUAAUUUUUAUUUUUCUUUCUUUUUUGGGGUCGCAUUCCGGGGAGAUUAAUUUCAGAAUGCUGCUGCUCUCUCGGUCGCGCUGUAUGAUAACAGACAUUGUAGUUAAAUGUGUCGGCAGUUUUGACGCUGAGGCUGCGGCUGCGUCUGGCGGUGUGCGCCUCAGCCUGCUCCGGCUUUCCCGGGCGAGAUAGCCCGUUUGUCCGCGCGCUUCCCUGAUCGCGCUGCCGGGAAGGCGGCAGCCGCAGCAGCUCGAAAGACUGGAAAAGACAAACAACAAAGCUUCUUGGAGUGAGAGAGAGAAAAAAACUUGAGGAAAUGAAUGAAUUUUUGAGAGAAAAAUCAGAGAGAAAGAAAGCGAUGUGUUGCAGCUUCGGGAACAUUGAAUGAGAGGAGCAGAAAGUACCUGCAGGCCUUCUCCUACAGGAGCUCCUUCAACAUCUCCAGCUACAUAUGAACAACCCUCAUCAGAAAAACCUUUAAGCUGCGAUUUGAGUUGUUUAAAUGUUAUUUAGUUUGUCUAAUUUAUUUAAUCUCCAAAACACCCGGAUAUGUAAUUAUCUUUUAUUAACUAUAGGCUAUACAAAGAGAAAAAUAUUUCAAAUGAACCAGAAACAGCGACGCACUAAAAAGUUUGGUCGCGACGACACGGCAGGAUCGAAAAUAAUGUUUUCUAAAAAUGUAAAUUAAUUUCAGUCUUGUGAUGUCGCAAAAAAAAAAAAGCGGAGAA
Long non-coding RNA from Melanotaenia boesemani (Boeseman's rainbowfish), 906 nucleotides. RefSeq lists it as uncharacterized. Lineage: Eukaryota; Metazoa; Chordata; Actinopteri; Atheriniformes; Melanotaeniidae. The record is from RefSeq and is a predicted model, not a curated record. The transcript has 2 exons.